Molecule: non-coding RNA, 98 nt
Organism: Acanthosepion pharaonis
Lineage: Eukaryota; Metazoa; Mollusca; Cephalopoda; Sepiida; Sepiidae
Source: the annotation of a GenBank genome assembly
AUUGAAACACCUGUUCCCGUACGAUCACCAAAGCUAAGCAACGUCGAGCCUGGUUCGUACGUAGAUGGGUGAUCGCUUGGGAAUACCAGAUGCUGUAA